AUGUCGGUGUCAUCGCGCUUCGAGCUCCGGGACUCGUCGCUGUGUUGUUGCUGCAGCGGCGAUGUGGGGACAUUCGCCGACGCGGGGAACCUCGAGCACUGCGCCAAGUACCUCAAUCAGACGCUCGUUACCUUCGGUUUCCCGGCCUCGCUCGACCUAUUUGCCACAGAUCCGGUAUCUAUUGCAAGAACAUGCAACUGCAUGUAUGCACUGCUGCAGCAGCGCCAGAGAGACAUCGAAUUCCGGGAAUCGACCAAUGAUCUACGGCAACGUAUGCAGUCUGAUAUUUCAAGACUGGAAGCCAAGAUCGAAAGGAUGGAUGCCCAAUCGGCAGCAAAAGAUCGAGAGUUGGCCACUUUGACCCGAACGGAGGCCAAAAACACCGCAGCUCUGAAAGCUCAUAUUGAGAAGCUGCAGCAGGAACGUGACGAAUUUCAAAAAAUGGUUAUUGGAAAUCAGCAAGUACGCACCCAACAAAUUCAUGAAACGAAGAAGAAAGAAAAGGAAUACAUCAAAUUGCAGGAGAAGCUAAACCAAGUAUUGAUGGAGAAGAAAAAGGAAUCAUCACGUUCAGGAAUGGAAAUAAUGAACUUGUUGCAGAAAGAGGGACGACAGCGUGGAACAUGGACUGGAAAAAAGAAUGACAAUGACUACUACAAAAUGAUUGUUGAUGCAUAUGAAGUGAAGAAACAAGAACUAGUCCAGGAGAAUGCUGAUUUGCGGGCACUGUUACGUUCGAUGCAGAUGGAUAUGCGUGAGUUCCUUAAUGCUCCAACUGGAUCAUCACAGCCUGCUGUUGCUGGUAAUGGAAGACAGGAGGCAGGGUCUCCCCAGUCCCCACUUGGGGGCAAGACGGAUGUCUUUGACUUGCCCUUUCACAUGGCCAGAGACCAGAUAGAGGAGAGUUUGCGCACUAAAAUGGCUUCAGUGAAGGCACGAAUGACGCAACUUCAAGAUGCUCAAAAAGGUGCUGAAGUGACCUCGGAAGUUACCGAGCGUGAACUUGAGCUUGAAGCUCAGUUAGUUGAAGCCAGAAGCAUCAUCCAAGAGCAGGCGUCCAUCAUGUCUAAGCACUUCUCCAAGUCUGAUAAACCAAGGAGGUUAAGUGGCCUGGAUGCCGAGCGUGAGGCGAUUCUUUCUGCUUCUACAGAUGUGUAAAGAUAUAUUCAUGGUGAAUUUCUGUUCUGGAAGGCUGCAAGGCACAUCAUUUUGGUCUGUGAUGGAGGUCUCUUCCUGCCAUGGUAGCACUAGUGCCGCGGCAGCCUAUGUAGCAUGAUGUGCAGGAGCAUCUCUCCUGCCGUUGCUAACUGAUAAUCCCGUAGGUAUGGCUGCCGCUACUGGUAUUCCUCUGAUGGAGCGGAGUCUUAUGCAGCCUGCUGUCUUCGGAAUGUAAUUGUGCCUCGUUUUAGUUCAAUGAUGUGGUUCAUCUUGUGGCAACUGUUAUAGCUCGUUUGGCACCUCGGUUUUCAUUUCAUUUGAAAUGAAACGAAAACACAUUCAUCAUAGGAUAUUUUGUUUGGUAGGAAGUUUUCUAGUUUGGCAGCCAGAUGGAUUUGUGAAAUGAAAUGAAUCUCAUAUGUUCCAUCAGGCUGCGAGUUGGGGAGUUGUGGCUGCCGGUGGAAAACGAGUCCGACUUUGGUUGUGGCGGGCGUUGGCGGUGUCUACGCGCCGUUACAUCGCUUUUGCGGUCAUUUUCUCCUCGCUUAGACUGUUUCGAGGGGAAACCGUUGAUCUGGGUAUCUUAGAUCGGACCACGACCUUGAUCUGGGUAUCCUAGAUCGGACAACGAC
This 1790-nucleotide ribosomal RNA is filed under the name Triticum aestivum (bread wheat). RNAcentral's name for it is "partial small subunit ribosomal RNA". The record is from RNAcentral. Lineage: Eukaryota; Viridiplantae; Streptophyta; Magnoliopsida; Poales; Poaceae.